RNAcentral lists this ribosomal RNA (690 nucleotides) under uncultured Acidobacteriota bacterium. RNAcentral's name for it is "bacterial SSU rRNA". It matches the Rfam family "Bacterial small subunit ribosomal RNA", at positions 15 to 719 of the family's 1533-position model. Lineage: Bacteria; Pseudomonadati; Acidobacteriota. The record is from RNAcentral.
GAUCCUGGCUCAGAAUCAACGCUGGCGGCGUGCCUCAGACAUGCAAGUCGAACGAUUAAACUUUCCUUCGGGAAAGAUAUAAAGUGGCGCACGGGUGAGUAACACGUAGGUAAUGUACCUUUGGGUGGGGAAUAACUUAGGGAAACUUAAGCUAAUACCGCAUAAUGCAGCGGCUCCUUCGGGAGACAGUUGUUAAAGAUUUAUCGCCUAAAGAGCAGCCUGCGGCAGAUUAGCUAGUUGGUAAGGUAACGGCUUACCAAGGCUACGAUCUGUAUCCGACCUGAGAGGGUGGUCGGACACACUGAUACUGAAUAACGGGUCAGACUCCUACGGGAGGCAGCAGUCGGGAAUUUUGGGCAAUGGGCGAAAGCCUGACCCAGCAACGCCGCGUGAAGGAUGAAGUCUUUCGGGAUGUAAACUUCGUAAGAAUAGGAAGAAUAAAUGACGGUACUAUUUGUAAGGUCCGGCUAACUACGUGCCAGCAGCCGCGGUAAUACGUAGGGACCAAGCGUUGUUCGGAUUUACUGGGCGUAAAGGGCGCGUAGGCGGCGUGUCAAGUCAAUUGUGAAAUCUCCGAGCUUAACUCGGAACGGUCAAUUGAUACUGAUGUGCUAGAGUGCAGAAGGGGCAAUCGGAAUUCUUGGUGUAGCGGUGAAAUGCGUAGAUAUCAAGAGGAACACCUGAGGUGAA